GGUUAACCAGGCAUUAGGUUUGCCAAGGUGAAAGAGAGUCAGCAAUUCAGUACCCUUGGUAAAAAACGAAAAUUGCAAAAUGGGUCAGGGGCAUCAUUGGUAAGAAAGCAGUGCUCAGCCGGAGAGGGAGUUGUUAAGAGCAUUUUACAAUUGCUAUAAUUUCUUGAGCGAAACAAUGUUUUCUGUUAACUUUGCAGCUGGCUUUAUCUGUUUUGUUUUCAGAGCGUGAAUAAUGCCCGGGGGGCUCUUUGCUUUUUCUGUUUGAGUCGAUUUUCACUCUUUCAGUCCUGGCUGGGUCCUACUCUUUCGUGACAUAAGAAAGGUCGGAGAUGGAAGGUUAUUUCAUGAAGGUACAAGAUGCCACGUGGAGAUCAAGCUUAGAUUUUGUAACUAGCGGCCCAUUAAUUUUCUAAAGUAAAGAGCUUUUGGAAAAAUUCAGAUCAGAAAGCAUGUCUGGGGUCCGAGGCCAAGGUGGGGACCCGCUACUCUAAUUACACGUCUCUUCCCUGACAUCCAUCUAUGGGAAGAGCAGAGUUUUCAAACUAGACUGC
RNAcentral lists this long non-coding RNA (551 nucleotides) under Felis catus (domestic cat). RNAcentral describes it as "lncRNA (ENSFCAG00000053538.1)". The record is from RNAcentral. Lineage: Eukaryota; Metazoa; Chordata; Mammalia; Carnivora; Felidae.